GGGUUGUGAGGUUAAGCGACUAAGCGUACACGGUGGAUGCCCUGGCAGUCAGAGGCGAUGAAGGACGUGCUAAUCUGCGAAAAGCGUCGGUAAGGUGAUAUGAACCGUUACAGCCGGCGAUGUCCGAAUGGGGAAACCCAGUGCAAUUCGUUGCACUAUCGUUAACUGAAUACAUAGGUUAACGAGGCGAACCGGGGGAACUGAAACAUCUAAGUACCCCGAGGAAAAGAAAUCAACCGAGAUUCCCCCAGUAGCGGCGAGCGAACGGGGAGCAGCCCAGAGUCUGAAUCAGCUUGUGUGUUAGUGGAACGGUCUGGAAAGUCCGACGGUACAGGGUGAUAGUCCCGUACACCAAAAUGCACAGGCUGUGAACUCGAAGAGUAGGGCGGGACACGUGGUAUCCUGUCUGAAUAUGGGGGGACCAUCCUCCAAGGCUAAAUACUCCUGACUGACCGAUAGUGAACCAGUACCGUGAGGGAAAGGCGAAAAGAACCCCGGCGAGGGGAGUGAAAAAGAACCUGAAACCGUGUACGUACAAGCAGUGGGAGCACCUUCGGGUGUGACUGCGUACCUUUUGUAUAAUGGGUCAGCGACUUAUAUUCUGUAGCAAGGUUAACCGUAUAGGGGAGCCGCAGGGAAACCGAGUCUUAACUGGGCGUUAAGUUGCAGGGUAUAGACCCGAAACCCGGUGAUCUAGCCAUGGGCAGGUUGAAGGUUGGGUAACACUAACUGGAGGACCGAACCGACUAAUGUUGAAAAAUUAGCGGAUGACUUGUGGCUGGGGGUGAAAGGCCAAUCAAACCGGGAGAUAGCUGGUUCUCCCCGAAAGCUAUUUAGGUAGCGCCUCGUGAAUUCAUCUUCGGGGGUAGAGCACUGUUUCGGCUAGGGGGUCAUCCCGACUUACCAACCCGAUGCAAACUACGAAUACCGAAGAAUGUUAUCACGGGAGACACACGGCGGGUGCUAACGUCCGUCGUGAAGAGGGAAACAACCCAGACCGCCAGCUAAGGUCCCAAAGUCAUGGUUAAGUGGGAAACGAUGUGGGAAGGCACAGACAGCCAGGAUGUUGGCUUAGAAGCAGCCAUCAUUUAAAGAAAGCGUAAUAGCUCACUGGUCGAGUCGGCCUGCGCGGAAGAUGUAACGGGGCUAAACCAUGCACCGAAGCUGCGGCAGCGACACUAUGUGUUGUUGGGUAGGGGAGCGUUCUGUAAGCCUGCGAAGGUGACCUGUGAGGGUUGCUGGAGGUAUCAGAAGUGCGAAUGCUGACAUAAGUAACGAUAAAGCGGGUGAAAAGCCCGCUCGCCGGAAGACCAAGGGUUCCUGUCCAACGUUAAUCGGGGCAGGGUGAGUCGACCCCUAAGGCGAGGCCGAAAGGCGUAGUCGAUGGGAAACAGGUUAAUAUUCCUGUACUUGGUGUUACUGCGAAGGGGGGACGGAGAAGGCUAUGUUAGCCGGGCGACGGUUGUCCCGGUUUAAGCAUGUAGGCUGGUUAUCCAGGCAAAUCCGGAUAAUCAAGGCUGAGGUGUGAUGACGAGGCACUACGGUGCUGAAGUAACAAAUGCCCUGCUUCCAGGAAAAGCCUCUAAGCAUCAGGUAACAUUAAAUCGUACCCCAAACCGACACAGGUGGUCAGGUAGAGAAUACCAAGGCGCUUGAGAGAACUCGGGUGAAGGAACUAGGCAAAAUGGUGCCGUAACUUCGGGAGAAGGCACGCUGGUGUGUAGGUGAAGUCCCUGCGGAUGGAGCUGAGACCAGUCGAAGAUACCAGCUGGCUGCAACUGUUUAUUAAAAACACAGCACUGUGCAAACACGAAAGUGGACGUAUACGGUGUGACGCCUGCCCGGUGCCGGAAGGUUAAUUGAUGGGGUUAUCCGUAAGGAGAAGCUCUUGAUCGAAGCCCCGGUAAACGGCGGCCGUAACUAUAACGGUCCUAAGGUAGCGAAAUUCCUUGUCGGGUAAGUUCCGACCUGCACGAAUGGCGUAAUGAUGGCCAGGCUGUCUCCACCCGAGACUCAGUGAAAUUGAACUCGCUGUGAAGAUGCAGUGUACCCGCGGCAAGACGGAAAGACCCCGUGAACCUUUACUAUAGCUUGACACUGAACAUUGAGCCUUGAUGUGUAGGAUAGGUGGGAGGCUUUGAAGCGUGGACGCCAGUCUGCGUGGAGCCAACCUUGAAAUACCACCCUUUAAUGUUUGAUGUUCUAACGUUGGCCCCUGACCGGGGUUGCGGACAGUGUCUGGUGGGUAGUUUGACUGGGGCGGUCUCCUCCCAAAGCGUAACGGAGGAGCACGAAGGUUAGCUAAUCCUGGUCGGACAUCAGGAGGUUAGUGCAAUGGCAUAAGCUAGCUUGACUGCGAGCGUGACGGCGCGAGCAGGUGCGAAAGCAGGUCAUAGUGAUCCGGUGGUUCUGAAUGGAAGGGCCAUCGCUCAACGGAUAAAAGGUACUCCGGGGAUAACAGGCUGAUACCGCCCAAGAGUUCAUAUCGACGGCGGUGUUUGGCACCUCGAUGUCGGCUCAUCACAUCCUGGGGCUGAAGUAGGUCCCAAGGGUAUGGCUGUUCGCCAUUUAAAGUGGUACGCGAGCUGGGUUUAGAACGUCGUGAGACAGUUCGGUCCCUAUCUGCCGUGGGCGCUGGAGAAUUGAGGGGGGCUGCUCCUAGUACGAGAGGACCGGAGUGGACGCAUCACUGGUGUUCGGGUUGUCAUGCCAAUGGCACUGCCCGGUAGCUAAAUGCGGAAGAGAUAAGUGCUGAAAGCAUCUAAGCACGAAACUUGCCCCGAGAUGAGUUCUCCCUGAGACUUUAAGUCUCCUGAAGGAACGUUAAAGACGAUGACGUUGAUAGGCCGGGUGUGUAAGCGCAGCGAUGCGUUGAGCUAACCGGUACUAAUGAACCGUGAGGCUUAACCUUACAACGCCGAAG
RNAcentral lists this ribosomal RNA (2923 nucleotides) under Klebsiella pneumoniae. RNAcentral's name for it is "bacterial LSU rRNA". It matches the Rfam family "Bacterial large subunit ribosomal RNA". Lineage: Bacteria; Pseudomonadati; Pseudomonadota; Gammaproteobacteria; Enterobacterales; Enterobacteriaceae. The record is from RNAcentral.